This 215-nucleotide unclassified non-coding RNA is filed under the name Hevea brasiliensis (rubber tree). The record is from RNAcentral. Lineage: Eukaryota; Viridiplantae; Streptophyta; Magnoliopsida; Malpighiales; Euphorbiaceae.
AAGAGGUAUGCUGUCAACAACUAAUCAAAGGCAUACAAAUCUCUGCAGUCUAAAUCCAAAUUGGGUGAUACUCAAAAUCACCUAAUAAUACACCAUGAUGUUUAAUCCAGCUGCAGCAGCAAUCGUGAAGUUUCGUGCUAAGGAAACACAAACACAUAUGAUAUGAUAUGAGUUGGAAAGUACAAUCACUUGCACAGAACAAAAAAAUGUUACUU